GCAAAAGCGUCGACGGAGACUAGUAAGCGAACCAGCAGCUUGCCAGGGAGAAACUGCCAUGGACUGAAAGCAGUUUUAAAGCAUGCCUCGCCGAAUUCACUCCUGAGCUGUCCUUUGAACGGUUUCGAUGCCCAGUAGAAGGAAAACCGGGUCAUUCCCGUUACCAAUGAACAAAGUGAGGCAUGCAAGUAAAAGGGCUCUUGACUUUUUUUCCUUUACACGCUUGUCUAAUCAGGGUGGUACCGCGAGCAACUCGUCCCUUUU
RNAcentral lists this non-coding RNA (264 nucleotides) under Brevibacillus borstelensis. RNAcentral describes it as "T-box sequence". It matches the Rfam family "T-box leader". From Rfam's summary of the family: Uncharged tRNA acts as the effector for transcription antitermination of genes in the T-box leader family. T-boxes are found upstream of many aminoacyl-tRNA synthetase genes and some amino acid biosynthetic genes usually in Gram-positive bacteria. The anticodon of a specific tRNA base pairs to a specifier sequence within the T-box motif, and the NCCA acceptor tail of the tRNA base pairs to a conserved bulge in the T-box antiterminator hairpin. The record is from RNAcentral. Lineage: Bacteria; Bacillati; Bacillota; Bacilli; Caryophanales; Paenibacillaceae.